RNAcentral lists this ribosomal RNA (254 nucleotides) under uncultured bacterium. RNAcentral's name for it is "partial 16S ribosomal RNA". It matches the Rfam family "Bacterial small subunit ribosomal RNA", at positions 524 to 775 of the family's 1533-position model. The record is from RNAcentral.
CACGUAGGGGGGCGAGCGUUUGUCCGGAUUCAUUGGGCGUAAAGCGCGCGCAGGCGGCUCGGAAAGUCGGGUGUGAAAACUCGGGGCUCAACCCCGGGCGUGCAUCCGAUACUGCCGGGCUUGAGGCAGGUAGGGGAGAUCGGAAUUCCUGGUGUAGCGGUGAAAUGCGCAGAUAUCAGGAGGAACACCGGUGGCGAAGGCGGAUCUCUGGGCCUGUCCUGACGCUCAUGCACGACAGCGUGGGGAUCAAACGG